UCAGACCAUGAUCUUGUGAAACGAAAUUGUAUGGGAAUUGUAACCUUAUGGCUUUUGUGGGUUUUUCCUUUAAAAGCACCUAUGUGACUACAGUACGAUGCGACUCUUGCUCUUGGGAGCUGAGUUUGCCUGACUGUACAGCCGCAACAAUAAACCUCGUGCUGUUGCAUCAACUGGACUGGAGUCUGGGUUCUUCGGGUGCCCACUUGAGAUCCUAGAUUUUUGGGGUCUAACAAAAGUACUUACUGGUGGAGCAGAGGACCUGGGUUUGGUUCCCAGCACCCACAUAUCUGCUCUUAACCACUGGUGGCCAGCUCUAGAUCAUCCAAAACCUUCUAAUUUCUGUGGGCUCCUGAUUGCAUGUGCUGCACAUGAAUGCACUCAGACACACUCACACACAGUAAAUAUAUAUAUAUAUUUUAAAAAGUCAGAGGCAAAUGAAUUUACUAGACCUUGGUAUGUGGGUAGGCAGUGUGAGGGACCAGCUUAACAACCGAAUGAGACACACAGAGUUGUCCAAGCAUGGAUGUCACUGUUACUGUUGGCCUCUUGAGCACUGGAGCAUGCUUCCUUAUUGUGGAAUAUCUAUGUCUCAGACAGAGCUGGUCCUGGGUGAUUCCCAAAUGGGGGCAGGUGUUCCCUGUUCUUCACUCCUUUUCUUGACAUCUCAUAGGGUUUGGAAUUAUCAGGGAGUGCAGAGUCCACUGAAGAUGAGCUAUGGUGGCUAGAGCUGGGUGAUGUUGAUCCUGCUGGGAAUGACCUGAGAGUGUCCUACCUGGGUGGGUUUUAUGUGUCCCUGGAUGCUCAGCCUCUCCUUUCCCCCCAUGUUUUCCAAACUAGGCUUUCUAUCCCUUGUCUACAUAUCAACCGCCCACAUUAUAUAGGUACAACCUCAAUCAUAGCAGGCACACCAAAGACAGUGCAAUCCCUGCUCCCCAUUGGCCCUCCCUCACAUCAGCAAAACCGCAAGAAACUGGCCUGGUUGGUCUCCAGACUCAUAGAGAUCCGCCUGCCUCUGCCUCCAGAGUGCUGGGAUUAAAGGUGUGUGCUGCCAUGACGGCCUCAGGCUCGUUUUCUUCAGCUCAUUUUAAGAGGUGACCAGUGACUGACCUUAGUCCCCAAGUCAGAGCCAAGUACUGCAGGGGUUUCCAGAGGAAGAUGCAGCGACCUCCUCAAUCAAAGCCCCUUUGAUCCCUGCCCCAUGCGAAAGCAGUGUGGGCAGGGAUUUUCAUUUCUCCAAUCCAUACACCUCUAAAACACAGAAAUGGGCCAUGCUGUAGAGGUGCAUUUUAAAUUUUUGUUUGUUCAUUUUUCUCAGACAGGCUCUCCCUGUGUAGUCCAGGCAGCUACCAAACUGUCUAAAUCCCUCGGCCCCAGGCUCUAAGUUCUGGGAUUAGAGGCAUGCGUCACUAUUCCUGGCUCUGGAAUUUUUUUUUUUUGAACCUUCCCCCCACCCUCCAAUUAGCAAUCCUGAAGAUCUUCCCAUAAAAGUGCCGUAUGUUCUUUGUGGAAUUUGCCUUAAUUCCAAACCAGAGAUCAAUGGACUCUGCCCUCCUAGAAAAUUCCAGGCCAGUGGUCAAUGUUGGCGAUCUUCCUCAAUUACUUCAGUUUGUUAUUCUGGAGACAGGGUCUCUCAUUUGAACCUGGAGCUCAACGGUAUGGCUAGGCUGCCUGGCCAGAGCUCCAGGGCACAUGUCUGCGUCCACAGUGCAGGAAUUACAGGCAUCCCAGGGAACUCAACUGUUUCACAUAGGUGAGGCAGAUCUGAGUUCAAGAUUCCUUGUCUGUGCGGCAAGCCCUUGCUGACUUCCUCAGCCCCCUCCACAUAUUCCAUUAUUGAUUCUGUAAUGUUUUACCUUAUACGUUAUUUAACCUCUCAUUUAAAUAUGUAAUUUUCUUUAGAUAAGCGUCCUUUGAAAAACCCUGCAUAUUCAUUAUUGUGUUCCUAUAUAAUUUUUUUUUCUAGAGUAGAAUAGAAUUGAAUUUUUUUCCUCUAGACUAGAAUUUUUAGGUCAACCGUAUAUGUAUUCACAGUUUUGAAAGCUGCCAUCGGGCCGCUUUGCCAAAAAAGCUUCAUCAGUUCUCAGUCCCCCGAUGCCAGCAGAACAGCCCAUAGUUCAGUCCUCGGGCCCUUUGGUGAUUUUAUAGGCACCUCAACAUUCUUUCCACUGAAAGCUGCCAAAGUGAUUGUGGUUUUCUGUACCAGAACUGAGCCUGAAGGACUGGGCUAUGGUCCCAUCAUCUGGCUUCUCUGUUUAAAACACUUCCGUGACUGGUAAAUACAGUCCACCCUGCAACAUAGGUCGCCUCCCUGAGUCCCAUGUUUACUCCCAGCCAGCCCUAUUUCUCCUGCCUUUGGGCUAAGCAUGACUCAGCCUGCCUCUCCUCAUCCCCAGGACUCUGUCUCUCUUCUCCCUGGUCAGGGUGUUUCCUCUUCCGCUGGCUAAUUCUUCUCUUCUUAGCUGUGUCCCUAUUUCUGUCUGCAUCGGGAGCCUGGCCUGGCCUGGGCCUGCUGUACAUGCAUGCCCCUCCCCCAUGCCCUUCGUAUGCACUUUGCUCUGGGGCACACUGCUGCUCUGGAGUGAAUUAAACAUCUGGUUAGACCAGAAUGGACAGUGUUCUUGGUAACCAUUUCACACACUUGCAUUUUGUCCUGAUAUGCAUGAGGAUGGGGAUGGUACCGUGUCUUGUUUUCCUUUUGUGCUCGAAAAUGUUCCCAAUGUGAUAGAAGAAAGGGUAUUUCUUGAGUACCUACCAUGGAUGAAGUUCUUUCUUAACUAUGGCAUUGGUUAAUAUUCACAACCAUUCCUGGAAAGCUGCCUUCAUGUUUCCGAUAUGAAGCAAAUUGCCCUUGAGGACUCCCCUCAGUAUAAAUUCAGAUAUGCCACCUGAGAAAUUCCUCCAGUGAAAACUUGGAUGUGCCAAAGCACAGUGCUUGGUUCUUCCUAAACCCACCGAGUAAGCAAUUCCCUUCAGGAGCUUCCCACUGCAGAGUGGCACAGUGCUGAACACCUCCUGAGAGAACUAAGUCAUGAGGAAUGCAACAGCCCAUCUUCCCGAAAAGAUCUUUCAAGACCUAAAAGGUUCACAACGUGUUACCUUCUUUUUUUUUGCAUAUCAAAGCAUCUUUUUGGACUUUAAAUAUUGACUUGUUUUUAUUUCCGACAGUUUCAUAAUGUACUUAAGGACGUUUACUCCUACCCCCCUUGCCCACCCUUAUCUCCUCUGCUGUUGAAAUGCUUCUUCUUUCCAGGUCACCAUUCUACUCUCUUGUCUCCUUUCUGUGUGUGACCCACUGAGUUCACCCAGAGAUGCUUGCAUGAGCAGGGUUGGGGGGAUUAACUGGGGGCUGGGCAGCUCAUCAGUGGCCUCACCACUGUGGAAAAUGACACCUCUUCCCCACAACCACUAACUGCCUGUAGCUCCUCACAGGCCCAUGACAUGUCCACGGUCCAACCUUGCGAAGGGCUGAUGCAUGUGAGCACAGGUGCUCUGAGUUCCUGAACGCAACGGCUGUCGCGCCCACACGAUGACUUUUUGCGGCACGCGUUCUCAUCCCCCUGGCUCUUACAUUCCUUCUGCCCUCUUCUGUGGUGUUUCCUGCGCCUUGGUGGUACGAGCUGUCUUAUUCAGGGCUGAGGACUUCAUUGUCACUUACUCUAGUCACUUUGAUCACUCAUGAGUCACUUUUUUAACCACCGCCCAAGGAUCUUAGAGCCUUGAGAGGAGUGUUAUGGAACAUUGUUAAAGCACCUCUUCCCUGCCAGUCACCUUGGUCUUCGCAGUGGGUUCUGAAGCCAAGUGUCUGGAUCAAAUGAUGCAUCUUCUCUGCCGCCUUGAGAUCCAGGAAGGAUUGUUUUCGUUGCAUACAGCAGGAGUUACUCCCAUCUGAGAAGCAGCUUGAGCAGAAGAGGGAGAUGCUGGAGGGCAUGAGGCAGCCAGCUCACAGAAGUGAAGGAAAGCUGCCAGACUUCGCUUGGCAAUGGUGGGCCAGAGCGGCUCUGGGAACUCAGGACCGGGAGCCAGCAUCCCUGUGUCCAUGACAUGGAUGUUGGCUUGAGGCCCUGGGGUUUUCCUGAUGUCAAAUUUUAUGACACUCUCAAAUAAAAUUCCCAUAUAAAUCAAACCA
Peromyscus maniculatus bairdii (prairie deer mouse) is the source of this 4129-nucleotide non-coding RNA. The record is from RefSeq and is a predicted model, not a curated record. NCBI's taxonomy places the organism in Eukaryota, Metazoa, Chordata, Mammalia, Rodentia, Cricetidae.